UGAGCAAUCUGCCCUUCUCAUCGGAAUAAGCGUUGGAAACGACGUCUAAUGCCGAAUACGACCUCCUUUCGCAUGAUCGGAGGUGGAAAGCUCCGGCGGAGAAGGAUGAGCUCGCGGCCUAUCAGCUAGUUGGUUUGNGGGUAAUGGCCCACCAAGGCGACGACGGGUAGCUGGU
Molecule: ribosomal RNA, 175 nt
Filed under: uncultured bacterium
Lineage: Bacteria
Description: partial 16S ribosomal RNA
Rfam family: Bacterial small subunit ribosomal RNA
Source: RNAcentral